Molecule: ribosomal RNA, 390 nt
Filed under: uncultured bacterium
Lineage: Bacteria
Description: bacterial SSU rRNA
Rfam family: Bacterial small subunit ribosomal RNA
Source: RNAcentral
GACGAACGCUGGCGGCGUGCUUAACACAUGCAAGUCGAACGAUGAACCCGGAGCUUGCUCCGGUGGAUUAGUGGCGAACGGGUGGGUAACACGUGAGUAACCUGCCCUUGACUCUGGGAUAACUGCGGGAAACUGUAGCUAAUACCGGAUACGACCCUCGGCGGCAUCGCCAGGGGGUGGAAAGAAUUUCGGUCAAGGAUGGACUCGCGGCCUAUCAGCUAGUUGGUGAGGUAAUGGCUCACCAAGGCGACGACGGGUAGCCGGCCUGAGAGGGUGACCGGCCACACUGGCACUGAGACACGGCCCAGACUCCUACGGGAGGCAGCAGUGGGGAAUAUUGCACAAUGGGCGCAAGCCUGAUGCAGCAACGCCGCGUGAGGGACGACGGCC